Molecule: ribosomal RNA, 489 nt
Filed under: uncultured bacterium
Lineage: Bacteria
Description: partial 16S ribosomal RNA
Rfam family: Bacterial small subunit ribosomal RNA
Source: RNAcentral
GUGCACGCUGGCGGUAGGCCUAACACAUGCCAGUCGAACGGCAGCACAGGAGAGCUUGCUCUCUGGGUGGCGAGUGGCGGACGGGUGAGGAAUACAUCGGAAUCUGCCCAGUCGUGGGGGAUAACGUAGGGAAACUUACGCUAAUACCGCAUACGACCUUCGGGUGAAAGAGGGGGAUCGCAAGACCUCUCGCGAUUGGAUGAGCCGAUGUCGGAUUAGCUAGUUGGCGGGGUAAUGGCCCACCAAGGCGACGAUCCGUAGCUGGUCUGAGAGGAUGAUCAGCCACACUGGAACUGAGACACGGUCCAGACUCCUACGGGAGGCAGCAGUGGGGAAUAUUGGACAAUGGGCGCAAGCCUGAUCCAGCCAUACCGCGUGGGUGAAGAAGGCCUUCGGGUUGUAAAGCCCUUUUGUUGGGAAAGAAAUCUUUCAGGCUAAUACCCUGGGAGGAUGACGGUACCCAAAGAAUAAGCACCGGCUAACUUCGUG